GCCGUUCUCAUGGGGAGUCUCCGGACUGAGAUCGUGUCUGCACAUGCAGCACACGGGACCCAUUGAACCUGAACCAGGUCAUGCUGGCGUAGGAAUUGAGAAACUGAAAGCAC
Molecule: non-coding RNA, 113 nt
Filed under: Photobacterium halotolerans
Lineage: Bacteria; Pseudomonadati; Pseudomonadota; Gammaproteobacteria; Vibrionales; Vibrionaceae
Description: TPP sequence
Rfam family: TPP riboswitch aptamer (THI element)
About the family: Vitamin B(1) in its active form thiamin pyrophosphate (TPP) is an essential coenzyme that is synthesised by coupling of pyrimidine and thiazole moieties in bacteria.
Source: RNAcentral